GCCUGCCCAAUGAAUUAUUCAAUGGCCGCAGUAUUUUAACUGUGCGAAGGUAGCAUAAUAAUUAGUUUUUUAAUUGAGAACUGGUAUGAAUGGUUGGACGAGGAAAAAGCUGUCUCGAUUUAAAUUUAAUUAGAAUUUUAUUUUUAAGUUAAAAAGCUUAAAUACAUUUGAAAGACGAGAAGACCCUAUAGAGUUUUAUAUUUUAUUAUUAUUUAAUAUAUAAAGAAUUUAAAGGAUUUUAUUUUAAAAUAAUAUUUAAUUGGGGUGAUUUAAAAAUUAAAUAAACUUAUUAUUUUUUUUACCAUUGAUAUAUGAAAAAUUGAUCCAUUGUUUAUGAUUAAAAGAUU
Molecule: ribosomal RNA, 347 nt
Filed under: Neoemadiellus sp. 1 HKW-2010
Lineage: Eukaryota; Metazoa; Arthropoda; Insecta; Coleoptera; Scarabaeidae
Description: partial 16S ribosomal RNA
Source: RNAcentral